UCGGUUGAUCCUGCCGGAGGCUACCGCUAUUGGAGUUCGAUUAAGCCAUGCGAGUCGCGAGUCUUAGGGACUCGGCGUACCGCUCAGUAACACGUGGGUAACCUGCCCUAUGCUGGGGGAUAACCUCGGGAAACUGAGAAUAAUACCCCAUAGUUCACCACGCCUGGAACGGUGGGUGGAUGAAAGCUCCGGCGGCAUAGGAUGGGCCUGCGGCGUAUCAGGUUGUAGGGGGUGUAAUGUACCCUCUAGCCAUCUACGCGUACGGGUGUUGGGAGACAUCGCCCGGAGAUGGAUUCUGAGACACGAAUCCAGACCCUACGGGGUGCAGCAGGCGCGAAAACUUGGCAAUGCGAGCAAUCGUGACCAGGGAACUCCAAGUGCAUCGGGUAAGACCGAUGCUUUUCUUGACUCUUCAAAGGUCUUGGAAUAAGGGGUGGGUAAGGACGGUGCCAGCCGCCGCGGUAAUACCGGCGCCUCAAGUGGUAGUCGCUUUUAUUGGGCCUAAAACGUCCGUAGCCGGUUUGGUACAUUCGUGGGUAAAUCAAGGCGCUCAACGUCUUGAAUUCUGCGAGCACGGCCAGACUUGGGACCGGGUGAGGUGUGGGGUACUCUCAGGGUAGGGGUAAAAUCCUGUCAUCCUGAGAGGACCACCUGUUGCGAAGGCGCCACACUAGAACGGAUCCGACGGUCAGGGACGAAGCCUAGGGGCACGAACCGGAUUAGAUACCCGGGUAGUCCUAGGUGUAAACGCUGUGGACUUGAUGUUGGGAGUGCUCCGAGCACCCUCAGUGUCGAAGCGAAGGUGAUAAGUCCACUGCCUGGGGAGUACGGUCGCAAGGCUGAAACUUAAAGGAAUUGGCGGGGGAGCACUGCAACCUGAGGAUUGUGCGGUUUAAUUGGAGUCAACGCCGG
Molecule: ribosomal RNA, 912 nt
Filed under: uncultured marine archaeon
Lineage: Archaea
Description: bacterial SSU rRNA
Rfam family: Archaeal small subunit ribosomal RNA
Source: RNAcentral